GGGGCUGUGGCUUGGUGGCAGGGUAUCCGUUUGGCACACAGAAGGUCCCUGGUUCUGUUCCCAGCCUGCUUUA
Molecule: transfer RNA, 73 nt
Filed under: Sphaerodactylus townsendi
Lineage: Eukaryota; Metazoa; Chordata; Lepidosauria; Squamata; Sphaerodactylidae
Description: tRNA-Ala
Source: RNAcentral